ACGUUUGAGUAAAUUCCUGUCUGGUCGUGUAAUGGAUUCAUUCACGUUGAAUCCAAAGCCCUGUAUUGAACUAUGUCCACUGUCAGGAGGGGGCCGGCCACAAGGAGAGGAGGGAAAAGGACAGGACAGUGAAGAAACUGCCAUCAGAGAAACUACCUGUGAAAGAAUAAGCACGGUAUCAUUAUUUUGAGCUCUGUAAAACAAACACAAAACAUACACCCCAAACCCCCCACGAAUCGACACCAGUUGUUCGUAAAGCCUUGUGCUAGGGAUGAGAAAGAGAGCGAGAGGAAGGCCUUCGCUUUACAGCCUGUCAGGCAGACAAGGACAAAACAGGGAAGAAAAACUUGUCCCAAAAGAAAUGAUAUUAGUGAAGUAAAACAGUAUUGCUGGUGUGUCAGCACAUCCGUGUGAAGAGACCGUGAAUGAAAUGAGUCCAGGAGAGAAAUGCGUUGGUUUAAUGAUUCGUCCACAAACGCUUAUUAAGCACCAACCAUGUGCCAUCCACUGCGACAGGGGCUAGAGACACAAAAACAAAUAGGACGCAGACCCUGCCCCAAGGCCCUUCCAAGCCAGGUAGCUUGGAAGACGAAGCAGGAAUAUGUCAUCAGAGCUCUCGCCGACAUUGGUACAAGGUUCAGGCGAUUCCAAUGAGGUGGGGAGUCUGUGGGCAGAGCCAGGAAGAGGCUUUCGAGAAGGUCUAGCAAGGGUGACAGCAGCAGUGUAUAGGGAGCAAGUCCAGGGUGAGAUGCUGCGGUAGCUGCUAGGGGCUUAGGAACCCAAGUUCCCAAAGCAUCUGUUUCUGUGGCAUGCCGUUGAAACCUGGAGAGCGACGACAUCAUGGGAAAGGACCUCCUGGAGUGCUAUGGGCAGGCCAGCAGAGCCCUGACUGCAGCCCAGAGAGGAAAAUGACUUGCCCAGUCAGUAAGUGGCAAAGUGUCCUUCAGCCGGUGCCCUCGUUCCUGCCCUCUGGGAGGCCCUGCCCUGAUAAACAGCUAUGGAAUGUCGACACACAUGUGAAUGUGCUUGCAGCUGAAGCUCUUGAACAUUCAAAUGCCUUCCCUGCUGGAUAAUCUCUGAAAGAAGUUGGACAAAGGAGAGGGGAAUGGACCCAGGGAGCUUAAGAAAUGUUUUUGUAAACCUGUAUCCGGCCACACUAAAUAUGUAUGCAAUGUAGGUGGGCCUUGCACUCCGGGGGGUUUCCAUUCAUGUGUUAGGAUUUCAGUGAUAAGAAAAUAUAUUUUUAAGUUCUUUUUCCAUGCCUGUGAUGUAUCUUGGAAAGUUAGCAGCUGGGGAGAUUUUUUUUUCCUACUGCGUCCUAUUUAAAAAAAAAAAAAUUAAAACAAACCUUUUGAUUUUUUAAAGUAAUUAUGCAUACCAUUUAGAAAAAGCUACCUUAUUAAUAUUUUGAUAGACUUCCCAGACUCUUACUUACACACCUAUAUAUGAAAAGAUACAGCUUUAAGAAUAUGAGAUCAUACCAUACUGUUUCAUAACCUGACUUUUUUUUAUGCAAGAAUCUAUAGUGAACCUAUGUCCAUGGACAUCAAAAGAUGUACAUCAUCAUCAUCAAUCUUAAUAGUUACAUAGUAUUCUAUUUUAUGGAGUUAGUGUAAUUUGACCAAUUCCUAUUGACAAAACUUUAUAUUGUUUCCAAUUUUUGUCUUACUAAACCACGUUUGAUGUUCUUUUAUAAUAUCUUUGCUCUCUUGUUUCUAUCUUAGGGAAACUUCUUAGAAGAAGUAUAUAUUUUACAUGGAUAGGAGAGACAUUCUCCUUUCUAGAAAAGUUGUAUUGAUGUAUAUCAAUACAUUAAUUGGCAGGGGCCAAUGCAUUGGCAGGGGACUCCCAACAGCAAUUGUGUCAAAGUCUUUUAAAAAUAAUUUUAAGGGGGGCGCCUGGGUGGCGCAGUCGGUUAAGCGUCCGACUUCAGCCAGGUCAUGAUCUCACGGUCCGUGGGUUCGAGCCCCGCGUCAGGCUCUGGGCUGAUGGCUCAGAGCCUGGAGCCUGUUUCCGAUUCUGUGUCUCCCCCUCUCUCUGCCCCUCCCCCGUUCAUGCUCUGUCUCUCUCUGUCCCAAAAAUAAAUAAACGUUGAAAAAAAAAAUUAAAAAAAAA
This 2115-nucleotide long non-coding RNA is filed under the name Felis catus (domestic cat). RNAcentral describes it as "lncRNA (ENSFCAG00000050981.1)". The record is from RNAcentral. Lineage: Eukaryota; Metazoa; Chordata; Mammalia; Carnivora; Felidae.